RNAcentral lists this ribosomal RNA (829 nucleotides) under Gammaproteobacteria bacterium. RNAcentral describes it as "bacterial SSU rRNA". It matches the Rfam family "Bacterial small subunit ribosomal RNA", at positions 1 to 804 of the family's 1533-position model. Lineage: Bacteria; Pseudomonadati; Pseudomonadota; Gammaproteobacteria. The record is from RNAcentral.
UUUACGGAGAGUUUGAUCCUGGCUCAGGACGAACGCUGGCGGCGUGCCUAAUACAUGCAAGUCGCACGAGGACCAGGUGCUUGCACCUGGAGCCGAGUGGCGAACGGGUGAGUAACACGUGACCAACCUGCCGUCGGGUGGGGGACAACCUGGGGAAACCCGGGCUAAUACCGCAUGACAUCCGCGUCCCGCAUGGGAUGCGGACCAAAGGGGGCCUCUGCUUGCAAGCUCCCGCCGGGCGAGGGGGUCGCGGCGUAUCAGCUUGUUGGUGAGGUAACGGCUCACCAAGGCGAUGACGCGUAGUGGGUCUGAGAGGACGACCCGCCACAUUGGGACUGAGAUACGGCCCAGACUCCUACGGGAGGCAGCAGUAGGGAAUAUUGCGCAAUGGCCGCAAGGCUGACGCAGCGACGCCGCGUGUGGGAGGGAGCCCUUCGGGGUGUAAACCACUGUCAGGGGGGAAGAACUUCGUGGACGCGAACAGCGUUCACGGUUGACGGUACCCCCAGAGGAAGCGCCGGCUAACUCCGUGCCAGCAGCCGCGGUAAGACGGAGGGCGCAAGCGUUGUUCGGAAUCACUGGGCGUAAAGCGCUCGCAGGCGGUCCCUUAAGUCCGCCGUGAAACUCCGGGGCUCAACCCCGGACUGGCGACGGAUACUGGGGGACUGGAGACUGGUAGAGGCUAGCGGAAUUCUUGGUGUAGCGGUGGAAUGCGUAGAUAUCAGGAAGAACACCGGUGGCGAAGGCGGCUAGCUGGGCCAGUUCUGACGCUCAUGAGCGAAAGCGUGGGGAGCAAACAGGAUUAGAUACCCUGGUAGUCCACGCCGUA